This 276-nucleotide unclassified non-coding RNA is filed under the name Helotiales sp. RNAcentral describes it as "partial contains 5.8S ribosomal RNA, internal transcribed spacer 2, and large subunit ribosomal RNA". The stretch from base 1 to 71 matches the Rfam family "5.8S ribosomal RNA", at positions 84 to 154 of the family's 154-position model. The record is from RNAcentral. Lineage: Eukaryota; Fungi; Ascomycota; Leotiomycetes; Helotiales.
GUGAAUCAUCGAAUCUUUGAACGCACAUUGCACCCUCUGGUAUUCCGGAGGGUAUGCCUGUUCGAGCGUCAUUUCAACCCUCAAGCACUGCUUGGCAUUGGAUGCUACCAUAUGUGGUACAUCUUAAAAGCAUUGGCGACAGCACUUCAGCUUCUAGCGUAGUAAAUUUCUCGCUCUGGGGCUUGGAUGUUUGCCUGCCAGAAUCGUCAUUUCAAUGGUUGACCUCGGAUCAGGUAGGGAUACCCGCUGAACUUAAGCAUAUCAAUAAGCGGAGGA